RNAcentral lists this long non-coding RNA (1517 nucleotides) under Homo sapiens (human). RNAcentral describes it as "HSALNT0247023". The record is from RNAcentral. Lineage: Eukaryota; Metazoa; Chordata; Mammalia; Primates; Hominidae.
CAGGGAGGGGCUUUUUAUAGGGUUUGGCCUUUGUUCGGUGAUUCUAAGAAGGAAUGGUUAGUCUUUUUUUUUCCAACUACGGUACAGCAUUAAUUAUGUUUGGUUAGAAACAUUGUUCUGUUGGCCUUUCUGUGUCCUGUCGAAAACAUUGUUUAUCACAGUCUGACUGCUGGCAGAGUUUCUCAAGCUCUGAUUAGAAUUAAGGGUCCUGUUUGGGGAAAGUAACUGCAUAGAAGGCCAUAGAAAAGGCUCAGUAGGACUGUAGUUCCAGAGGAGCACUCUGUGAAAAUUUCAACCACAGCAGAGGAAAAUGGGGACUUCGACUUGUAUGGAGAUAGGAGGCUGCUCGGCCGCUGUGAAAAAUCUAAGGGGAGCCCUGCAUCAGAUAUCCAGAAGCUGUUUCCUGCAUUUCCAAGGAUGCUGUGCCCUGUAAGAAGAUUUAGAGAUGUGUGAGAGACGUAGGGACGUGAGGAGAGAACAGCAAAAUUAUAUAAAGUGUUUACAUCACCGGAACAGGAGGAGGGACACACCCAACAGCUGUAGAAGCAGGAAAUAUCUAAUACAAAACUAAAGUACAAAAACAUGAAAACAGAGUCUUUGCGCAUAUUUUGUUCCUGCUGACUGCCUUGAAAAAGUCUACAUUUCCUAUACAUAUGAUUGGGAAUGGGGAGGGCUUGGUUCUCCUUGUGCAACAUAUUCAGCAUGAUUUAGGCAGUUUUAUCUCUGCAAAUUUAUUGUUUCCUUUGGAGAAGUAUUCAUUUUCUAAAUCACAUCUCAGAAGUAUCAAGAGUUAUGUACCACAGGACAGCAGGGGGCAAUUAUAGAAGUCAGAUUCACGUCAAGCCAGAGUACAUUCUGUGAGGAGGAACUGACCCAGGCUUGGCAAGUGUCAGCUUGAAUUAACCUUUUUUUUUUUUUUUUUUUUUGCCAGGAGUCUCCCUCUGUCGCCCAGGCUGGAGUGCAAUGGCACAAUCUCAGCUCACUGCAACCUCCACUUCCCCAGUUCAAGUGAUUCUCCUGCCUCAGCCUCCCGAGUAGCUGGCAUUACGGGUGCGUGCCACCACGCCCACCUAAUUUUUGUAUUUUUAGUUGAGACAGGGUUUCGCCAUGUUGGCCAGACUGGUCUCAAACUCCUGACCUCAAGUGAUCUGCCCGCCUCAGCCUCCCGAAGUGCUGAGAUUACAGGCGUGAGCCAUCGUGCCCGGACUUAAAUUAACUAUUAAUAGGGAUAUUUAGAACUGAAAAAUACACAUUUUGAGGAAUGUGACAAAAAGUGUCCUUAUUUUUCAUAAUUGAUAUGGUUAUGGAUGGCUAAUGACCUGUGUGCUAUAGGAUCUGUGUAUCUUGUGUGGGGAUGCUGCAUUCUAACUCUAGAACCGGCCAAUUGCCUUGUAAGGGGAGGAUGAGUAAUAUAGUUUUAGAGAAGAGAUUAUUUCUCUCUAAAGAAAGUGAAACUUAGAUAAGAAACAGAAAUUUAGCCCGGGCGUGGUGGCUCACACCUGUAAUCCCAGCACUUU